Molecule: ribosomal RNA, 468 nt
Filed under: uncultured bacterium
Lineage: Bacteria
Description: partial 16S ribosomal RNA
Rfam family: Bacterial small subunit ribosomal RNA
Source: RNAcentral
GACGAACGCUGGCGGCGUGCUUAACACAUGCAAGUCGAACGGAAAGUCCCUGCUUUUGUGGGGUGCUCGAGUGGCGAACGGGUGAGUAACACGUGAGUAACCUGCCCUUGACUUUGGGAUAACUUCAGGAAACUGGGGCUAAUCCCGGAUAGGAGCUCCUGCUGCAUGGUGGGGGUUGGAAAGUUUCGGCGGUUGGGGGUGGACUGGCGGCUUAUCAGCUUGUUGGUGGGGUAGUGGUUUACCAAGGCUUUGACGGGUAGGCGACCUGAGAGGGUGACCGGCGAAGUUGGGACUGAGAUGCGGCACGGACUCCAACGGGAGGCGGCAGUGGGGAAUAUUGCACAAUGGGCGGAAGCCUGGUGCAGCAACGCCGUGUGCGGGGUGACGGCAUGCGGUUUGUAAACCGCUUUCGCCUGUGACGAAGCGUGAGUGACGGUAAUGGGUGAAGAAGCACCGGCUAACUACGUG